This 449-nucleotide ribosomal RNA is filed under the name uncultured bacterium. RNAcentral describes it as "bacterial SSU rRNA". It matches the Rfam family "Bacterial small subunit ribosomal RNA", at positions 355 to 825 of the family's 1533-position model. The record is from RNAcentral.
UGGGGAAUUUUACACAAUGGGGGAAACCCUGAUGUAGCGACACCGCGUGAACGAAGAAGCCUUUUGGGGUGUAAAGUUCUGUCGGCUGGAACGAAAAAAUGACGGUACCAGCAAAGGAAGCAUCGGCUAACUACGUGCCAGCAGCCGCGGUAAGACGUAGGAUGCAAGCGUUGUCCGGAUUUAUUGGGCGUAAAGAGUUCGUAGGCGGUUAUUUAAGUCUGAUGUUAAAUACUGUGGCCCAACCACAGAACUGCAUUGGAUACUGGAUGACUUGAGUGCGGUAGAGGCAAGUGGAAUUCCCAGCGUAGCGGUGAAAUGCGUAGAUAUUGGGAAGAACACCAGUGGCGUAAGCGACUUGCUGGCCCGUAACUGACGCUGAGGAACGAAAGCCAGGGGAGCGAAUGGGAUUAGAUACCCCCGUAGUCCCUGAGCGGGCUGGCAAGGCGCAU